This 807-nucleotide ribosomal RNA is filed under the name Triticum aestivum (bread wheat). RNAcentral's name for it is "partial small subunit ribosomal RNA". Lineage: Eukaryota; Viridiplantae; Streptophyta; Magnoliopsida; Poales; Poaceae. The record is from RNAcentral.
AUGCACAAAACUUCGAAAGCCACAAAACCUGGGCGGAAAUCAUGGACUACACGUUGGUCAAUAUUGUGCAGGCAACCAGUUGCCACAAUCGAACACAAUAAGCAUCACGGGAGCCUCCUCGUCGUCGGCGAUUCUCCGGCGCCUUUGUCUGGUCAUCUCUGGCUCCUGCCGUGCUCUCUGGUGCUCCUUUGCCUCAUGGAUGGCGCUCCCAUGCCUCGGACGCACGCCCCCUCUCCCCCGAGCUCCAGAUGGGAAGCAGCGGUCCCCCCUCUCCCCCGAGCUCGGGAUCCAUUGCAGCAACGGCAAGAUCGACCCGCGACACCGAUGAUUGGUCGGAGUAUGCAUAUCUUUGGACCCUUCCUCCUUGCGGGCCUCUCCACUAAAGACUGGGAGGCAAGAACCAGCGCCACCGCCAUGUCUGUUGGUGAUGCUCACGCUGGAAACCAGAGUUUGUUGGGUAUGCUUCCAGGAACAUGGGCUUAUGUUAGUGCUGGUGCAUUUGGGAGAUCUAUAAUUGCUGCAAAGAAUCUUGUAGCUGUGGCGGCGGUGACACUUUCAGUUCCUGCUUUCAGGGCACCUACUACAAAUAUACCUUCUGGAUCAGGCAAUGGGGGGAAAGUAAUGGAUACUGGCUACCCAACUGAGCCAACUGCUCCCUUGGUUGAUAAGGCGAAGAAAGCAUGGUGGAUGGCGAAGAGUGGGGGAAGUGGACCUGUCUCUUUGGUUGAAAAAAGGAAAGGAAGUGAGGGGCGUUGGGGGAAAACACAAAUGAGAACGAGCAGCUCUAGAUUUCCUGUGCUCACAUAG